UUCUCCACUACCUCAUGCUUCUCAUGGCCAUUUUACAGGUAGCUCCUCCCCAGCUUGAGGAGAGUCAAGACCAGCAGCACUCAGACCUGACAGAGCCGAGAGGUGGACCAGCAAACCCAGGCUUUGGGCUCUAGGGGAGGUCCAAGAGAGCCAAAGCACUGGGACCCAUCCUCCGGCAUCACACACCUGCCACUCCCUCCCUCUCCUCUGCAGAUGCACCUGGGCCACUUGGAGAGCCACCGUCUUGGCUUCUGAUCAGGUGGGAGGCUUUCUUCCUGUCUCACUAAGGGAGAAACUGAGGCCAGCAGAGGAGCAGAGAGAGAAAGAAGGUGCAUCUACCAGCCUGCAGGCAGAUGGAGGGCUUCCUGGACUGGGGAAGACCCAGCAGCCACAGGACACCCUUGUUGCUGUGAUAAACUGGAAGUCUUGGGGAACUCUGAGUGGCCUGCCCUGAGCCCCUUGAACUUGCCCCCAGGUCUAGACUCAGACCUCCCUCUGCAAGUCCUGGCAGUGUCAGGACACAGUCUUCCUAAGCCCAGGGAUGAGUGUUGCUCUUCCAUGUUUCAAACCAUUAAUAUUCUACAGAUUUUGAGGUAA
This is a long non-coding RNA of Ochotona curzoniae (black-lipped pika), 597 nucleotides long. RefSeq lists it as uncharacterized. NCBI's taxonomy places the organism in Eukaryota, Metazoa, Chordata, Mammalia, Lagomorpha, Ochotonidae. The record is from RefSeq and is a predicted model, not a curated record. The transcript has 2 exons.